Molecule: ribosomal RNA, 253 nt
Filed under: uncultured bacterium
Lineage: Bacteria
Description: partial 16S ribosomal RNA
Rfam family: Bacterial small subunit ribosomal RNA
Source: RNAcentral
UACGAAGGGGGCUAGCGUUGCUCGGAAUCACUGGGCGUAAAGCGCACGUAGGCGGAUUGCUAAGUCAGGGGUGAAAUCCUGGAGCUCAACUCCAGAACUGCCUUUGAUACUGGCGAUCUUGAGUCCGGGAGAGGUGAGUGGAACUGCGAGUGUAGAGGUGAAAUUCGUAGAUAUUCGCAAGAACACCUGCGGCGAAGGCGGCCUUCUGGACGAUGACUGACGCUGAGACGCGAAAGCGUGGGGAGCAAACAGG